ACCUGUAAUUGCCAUACUAACCUUUUUAGUAUACAUUUUAAGAUUUUAAGUAGUGUUAUUUUCAGUUUUAGGUAAUUUAAACAUUUAGACAACUUUCCUUGCUUCAUCUAAGUACAUUAGACUUGUUAGGAUAUGAAGACUACAUAUUCUUAGCCUACUUUAGGUUGAUUUCGAAUUUAGGUACUUCUUACUACACUUUGAGUAGCCAAAUUUUGAGAUUUAGCUAAUUCAUAGAAUUUGACAUCUUUCUUAGAUUCAUUUAAGUUCUUUAAACUUGUUAGGCUAAGAAUAUUACACAUUGUUAGGUUAGUUUAGGUCAAUUUCAAAAUUNUCACCUAUUUACAACACUUUCUAGGUUUAGGUCAAUGUAUCUAUUAUCGUGGUUUGCUCCAAUCCUUGGAGGCUUAAUUCUAAGAUAGUGGUGUGGGUAAUCAUGUUUUAGAGGGAUAAUUGUUUAGUAAAGAGAUAGUAGAUGAAUUAAGUAUGGAAAUUUGAUAUUUAGUAACUCGUGCAUUCUGUCAUUAUUUCAUUGAUUUACCAUAUAGUCGAGCCUUGACCAGAUGGGCCCCCAAAU
This 574-nucleotide long non-coding RNA is filed under the name Vigna radiata. Its description in RNAcentral is "long non-coding RNA (VRAD_LNC016141)". Lineage: Eukaryota; Viridiplantae; Streptophyta; Magnoliopsida; Fabales; Fabaceae. The record is from RNAcentral.